This is an unclassified non-coding RNA of Papio anubis (olive baboon), 147 nucleotides long. It matches the Rfam family "Metazoan signal recognition particle RNA". From Rfam's summary of the family: The signal recognition particle (SRP) is a universally conserved ribonucleoprotein. It is involved in the co-translational targeting of proteins to membranes. The eukaryotic SRP consists of a 300-nucleotide 7S RNA and six proteins: SRPs 72, 68, 54, 19, 14, and 9. NCBI's taxonomy places the organism in Eukaryota, Metazoa, Chordata, Mammalia, Primates, Cercopithecidae. The record is from Ensembl.
GCCGGGUGCAGUGGUGUGCACCUGUAGUCCCAGCUACUUUGGAGGCUGAGGCAGGAGAAUCGCUUGAACCUGGGAGGUGGAGUUGCAGUGAGCAGCGAUCUCGCCACUGCACUCCACCCCGGGCAACAGUGCAAGACUCUAUCUCAA